This 253-nucleotide ribosomal RNA is filed under the name uncultured bacterium. RNAcentral describes it as "partial 16S ribosomal RNA". It matches the Rfam family "Bacterial small subunit ribosomal RNA", at positions 524 to 776 of the family's 1533-position model. The record is from RNAcentral.
UACAGAGGUCUCAAGCGUUGUUCGGAUUCAUUGGGCGUAAAGGGUGCGUAGGUGGCGCCAUAAGUCGGGUGUGAAAUCUCGGGGCUUAACUCCGAAACUGCAUUCGAUACUGUGGUGCUUGAGGACUGGAGAGGAGACUGGAAUUCCCGGUGUAGCGGUGGAAUGCGUAGAGAUCGGGAAGAACAUCAGUGGCGAAGGCGGUCUGCUGGGCCGUUGCUGACGCUGAGGCGCGACAGCGUGGGGAGCAAACAGG